This is a long non-coding RNA of Pezoporus flaviventris, 537 nucleotides long. RefSeq lists it as uncharacterized. The record is from RefSeq and is a predicted model, not a curated record. NCBI's taxonomy places the organism in Eukaryota, Metazoa, Chordata, Aves, Psittaciformes, Psittacidae. The transcript has 2 exons.
UUCUGCCUGAGGUAUUUACAUGCACUGCAUGCCUGUGAGCUAUAAAUCGUUUGUUUACAAACUAAAAUUGUUUCAUUUUUUUUUAAAAUCUUCUAUCUUCAUUUUCCAUUUUGUAAAAAAGAUUGAAACUAGUGGUGGAAAAAAGUUUUAAAUAUGAAAUCUAGAGUCAGAGUUUAAAUGUUGGCAAGAAAUUGCUGGCAUUUUAUGAAAUCCUUUGCAGGUUUGACACAGAAUGGAUAGUAACUACAGAGCUGAAGAGAAACUACCUGUGGAGAGGCUGCCCUUCUUAACUUUGGUUUCCCCUCUGAACCUACUGGGGCCAGAGUUGGCUGCUGUCCUGCAGCUCAGAUGCCUCUCUGGAUAUAAAGCCUUUUGUUUAAGUCGGCUGCGCAACCCAUCUCCCUCAGGUGAAAACACACUUUUCAACAAUAUUCCACACACAGGUGCACUUUUCAUUGCUGCGGUUUGUAACCAACAGCUUACAGAUGGAGAAGACUGAAAAGACAUUGAUAAAUGUAUCUUAAGUAUUUUCCUGCA